RNAcentral lists this ribosomal RNA (795 nucleotides) under uncultured Actinomycetes bacterium. RNAcentral describes it as "bacterial SSU rRNA". It matches the Rfam family "Bacterial small subunit ribosomal RNA", at positions 183 to 988 of the family's 1533-position model. Lineage: Bacteria; Bacillati; Actinomycetota; Actinomycetes. The record is from RNAcentral.
UGAUCGCAUGGUCGUGCCGGGAAAGCUCCGACGGUCCGGGAUGGGCCCGCGGACUAUCAGCUUGUUGGUGGGGUAACGGCCUACCAAGGCGGCGACGGGUAGCUGGUCUGAGAGGACGGCCAGCCACACUGGGACUGAGACACGGCCCAGACUCCUACGGGAGGCAGCAGUAGGGAAUCUUGCGCUAAUGCGCGAAAGCGUGACGCAGCGACGCCGCGUGCGGGAUGAAGGCCCUCGGGUCGUAAACCGCUUUCGGCAGGGGACGAAGCGAAAGUGACGGUACCUGCAGAAGAAGUCCCGGCUAACUACGUGCCAGCAGCCGCGGUAACACGUGGGGGACGAGCGUUGUCCGGAUUCAUUGGGCGUAAAGAGCGCGUAGGCGGCUCGGAAAGUCGGUUGUGAAAUCCUGGGGCUCAACCCCGGAACUGCGUCCGAUACUUCCGAGCUGGAGGCAGGUAGGGGAGAUCGGAAUUCCUGGUGUAGCGGUGAAAUGCGCAGAUAUCAGGAGGAACACCGGUGGCGAAGGCGGAUCUCUGGGCCUUGCCUGACGCUGAGGCGCGAAAGCUAGGGGAGCGAACAGGAUUAGAUACCCUGGUAGUCCUAGCCGUAAACGUUGGGUGCUAGGUGUGGGCGGAUAUCGACCCCGUCCGUGCCGAAGCUAACGCAUUAAGCACCCCGCCUGGGGAGUACGGCCGCAAGGCUAAAACUCAAAGGAAUUGACGGGGGCCCGCACAAGCGGCGGAGCAUGCGGCUUAAUUCGAUGCGACGCGAAGAACCUUACCUGGGCUUGACAUG